UUGACGCUCAGUUUCUUUCAACAGCAUUUACAUUUUCUUUCUUUUAGAGUCAUUUGAGUGAGCUGAAAUAUUUCUAGCUUUAAGAUCAUUCACUCUAUUGAUAGAAGUGUUUAAUAAUGUAGGAGAGAAAAACAUAUAGAUGAUUAUUGAAAUAUAUAUAUUUAUAGAACUCAAUUUCUUAAUCAUAGUUUUUCAGCAAUGUAUACAUGAAACACAAUAAAUCUUUUUAAUAUCAAAAUAAAAUCAUAUAUUUAGAAAUUUUUGUUUGCAAUCAAGAUCAUCAAA
This 285-nucleotide long non-coding RNA is filed under the name Phoenix dactylifera (date palm). RNAcentral's name for it is "long non-coding RNA (PDAC_LNC009027)". The record is from RNAcentral. Lineage: Eukaryota; Viridiplantae; Streptophyta; Magnoliopsida; Arecales; Arecaceae.